UACGUAGGGUGCGAGCGUUAAUCGGAAUUACUGGGCGUAAAGCGCACGUAGGCGGAUUUGUAAGUCAGGGGUGAAAUCCCAGGGCUCAACCUCGGAACUGCCUUUGAUACUGCAAAUCUCGAGUCCGAUAGAGGUGGGUGGAAUUCCUAGUGUAGAGGUGAAAUUCGUAGAUAUUAGGAAGAACACCGGUGGCGAAGGCGGCCCACUGGAUCGGUACUGACGCUGAGGUGCGAAAGCGUGGGGAGCAAACAGG
RNAcentral lists this ribosomal RNA (253 nucleotides) under uncultured bacterium. RNAcentral's name for it is "partial 16S ribosomal RNA". It matches the Rfam family "Bacterial small subunit ribosomal RNA", at positions 524 to 776 of the family's 1533-position model. The record is from RNAcentral.